This 479-nucleotide ribosomal RNA is filed under the name Aschersonia sp. JOWM-25. RNAcentral describes it as "LSU rRNA". It matches the Rfam family "Eukaryotic large subunit ribosomal RNA", at positions 485 to 981 of the family's 3401-position model. Lineage: Eukaryota; Fungi; Ascomycota; Sordariomycetes; Hypocreales; Clavicipitaceae. The record is from RNAcentral.
CCCGUCCCAGGCCAGCAUCAGUUCGCGCCGGGGGACAAAGGCGGCGGGAACGUGGCUCCCCAGGGAGUGUUAUAGCCCGCCGCGCCAUGCCCCGGGGGCGGACUGAGGGCCGCGCAUCACUGCAAGGAUGCUGGCGUAAUGGUCACCAGCGACCCGUCUUGAAACACGGGCCAAGGAGUCGUCCUCGUAUGCGAGUGUUCGGGUGUCAAACCCCUACGCGGAAUGAAAGUGAACGUGGGUGAGAGCUUCGGCGCAUCAUCGACCGAUCCUGAUGUUCUCGGAUGGAUUUGAGUAGGAGCAUACGGGGCCGGACCCGAAAGAAGGUGAACUAUGCCUGUGUAGGGUGAAGCCAGAGGAAACUCUGGUGGAGGCUCGCAGCGGUUCUGACGUGCAAAUCGAUCGUCAAACAUGGGCAUGGGGGCGAAAGACUAAUCGAACCUUCUAGUAGCUGGUUUCCGCCGAAGUUUCCCUCAGGAAAU